This 72-nucleotide transfer RNA is filed under the name Armatimonadota bacterium. RNAcentral describes it as "Armatimonadetes bacterium (soil metagenome) tRNA-Asp". It matches the Rfam family "tRNA". Rfam says of the family: Transfer RNA (tRNA) molecules are approximately 80 nucleotides in length. The record is from RNAcentral. Lineage: Bacteria; Bacillati; Armatimonadota.
GGGAACGUGGUCUAAUGGUCACGACAGCGGAAUGUCGCUCCGCAAACGAGGGUUCGAUUCCCUUCGUUCCCG